This 461-nucleotide ribosomal RNA is filed under the name rape rhizosphere bacterium m9020. RNAcentral describes it as "bacterial SSU rRNA". It matches the Rfam family "Bacterial small subunit ribosomal RNA", at positions 27 to 477 of the family's 1533-position model. The record is from RNAcentral.
GAGUGAACGCUGGCGGUAGGCCUAACACAUGCAAGUCGAACGGCAGCACAGGAGAGCUUGCUCUCUGGGUGGCGAGUGGCGGACGGGUGAGGAAUGCAUCGGAAUCUACUCUUUCGUGGGGGAUAACGUAGGGAAACUUACGCUAAUACCGCAUACGACCUACGGGUGAAAGCCGGGGACCUUCGGGCCUGGCGCGAAUGAAUGAGCCGAUGCCCGAUUAGCUAGUUGGCGGGGUAAGAGCCCACCAAGGCGACGAUCGGUAGCUGGUCUGAGAGGAUGAUCAGCCACACUGGAACUGAGACACGGUCCAGACUCCUACGGGAGGCAGCAGUGGGGAAUAUUGGACAAUGGGCGCAAGCCUGAUCCAGCCAUACCGCGUGGGUGAAGAAGGCCUUCGGGUUGUAAAGCCCUUUUGUUGGAAAAGAAAAGCAGCUGGUUAAUACCCGGUUGUCNUGACGGUA